UUUAUUUUUUCCGAUUUUUGGCAUACAUGAUCUUGAAGUAUAAACAAACAAGUUUGACGGUUGGAUCGUUGAAACUAGUUUCGUAGAAUGUGUAUGCCAUCAAAACAAUAUAUUCACUAACAAUUAAGAGUUUAUUUAUAUUUUCGUUAAAUAUAACAUAAGAUUUUGUGGUAUCCACUAGUGUAAAUAUUUUAAAUUGAAGAUCAAAUUCA
RNAcentral lists this long non-coding RNA (212 nucleotides) under Prunus persica (peach). Its description in RNAcentral is "long non-coding RNA (PPER_LNC000478)". Lineage: Eukaryota; Viridiplantae; Streptophyta; Magnoliopsida; Rosales; Rosaceae. The record is from RNAcentral.